AUUGAACGCUGGCGGCAUGCCUUACACAUGCAAGUCGAACGGUAACGCGGGGCAACCUGGCGACGAGUGGCGAACGGGUGAGUAAUAUAUCGGAACGUGCCCAAUAGUGGGGGAUAGCCCGGCGAAAGCCGGAUUAAUACCGCAUGAGACCUGAGGGUGAAAGCGGGGGAUCGAAAGGCCUCGCGCGAUUGGAGCGGCCGAUGUCAGAUUAGGUAGUUGGUGGGGUAAAGGCUCACCAAGCCGACGAUCUGUAGCUGGUCUGAGAGGACGACCAGCCACACUGGAACUGAGACACGGUCCAGACUCCUACGGGAGGCAGCAGUGGGGAAUUUUGGACAAUGGGCGCAAGCCUGAUCCAGCAAUGCCGCGUGCAGGAAGAAGGCC
Molecule: ribosomal RNA, 384 nt
Filed under: uncultured bacterium
Lineage: Bacteria
Description: bacterial SSU rRNA
Rfam family: Bacterial small subunit ribosomal RNA
Source: RNAcentral